CGGGGGAGGCCGGAUCCUGGGCUGUGUCCCGGCGCCCUGUGCUCCGGGGCCUGCGCUGUUGGAUUCGCGCUCCCGGGCCGCGCAACCCCCU
Canis lupus familiaris (dog) is the source of this 91-nucleotide non-coding RNA. Lineage: Eukaryota; Metazoa; Chordata; Mammalia; Carnivora; Canidae. The record is from Rfam.